This 935-nucleotide long non-coding RNA is filed under the name Neogale vison (American mink). RNAcentral describes it as "Neovison vison (American mink) lncRNA (ENSNVIG00000016135.1)". The record is from RNAcentral. Lineage: Eukaryota; Metazoa; Chordata; Mammalia; Carnivora; Mustelidae.
AUAUGUGAAUUAUAUUUCAGUAAAGUUGGGAAGAGAGAGAAGCAGCUGAAGGCCCAAACUAAGCAACGAGUUUUAUUUCCUCUUCCCUUGGAAGAUGUGGACUUACUCCCUUGGCCUAUUCAGAAUUCUGUGGGAGUCUUCGAACUUGGGAUGAUGUCAGCUGACUUCCCAUCUAAGGCUGUUCCAUGGGCCCAAAAUCUUUCAAUACGUACAAACUGGAAUUGGAAUUGGAAAAACUUUUGGCCAAUUUGUAGCAGGUUUUCCAGGGAAGUAUUUUUCACUGACACUGUGGAAACCUAAAUAAGCUUCUCCCUCAGGAUCAUCGUAAGAGUCUGGAAAUAUCAAUCAGCCCGAAACACAGUCCAAGAUUUCACGUUUUUUGGUUUUUACAAACUGUCAGUUUUGAUUUUUAUUGAGCAAUAAGAAGUUUAGUUGUUUAUUGGAACAAACAAGGCUAGUGACCGUUCUUUCCAAGUGCUGGAUCUUUCCAUUCACUUGAACUAAACGAAGUAUUUCUGGUAUGCUCAGAAGAGGCAAGAAUGUAGAACCGAUGAGCUUGCAUUAGAAAGGAUUUGUGAUGCCUCCUGCAGGUCAUUCCACCCCCCCACCCCCCGUGAUCAGCCCAUUUGCAUUCUGUGUUCUGUUUAAAUCUUUGCAAAUACAAAUUGGAUACAAAUUCCAAUUCCCUCCUGGUAAAACUGGAAUUUACUUUUAAAAAAUGAGGAAACUAGGAAAUUCCGUGACUACCUCUUUGUUUUAAAGCAAACAAACUGUAGCAUCACGUCUAUGAGCAAAGAACUUACAGAGAGUGAGCCUGGAUAUUUCCACCCUGACGAGGUAAGGGUACAGGCUGCAGGGGUGUGGGGGGAAGGAAGGAGCCCUGUGGUGGUGUGGCCUGUCCGUAGUCCAUAGGAAUAAAGGAUCAGAUACUGGCA